This 104-nucleotide ribosomal RNA is filed under the name Bacillus toyonensis. Lineage: Bacteria; Bacillati; Bacillota; Bacilli; Caryophanales; Bacillaceae. RNAcentral also lists the same sequence under 5 other names. The record is from RNAcentral.
GCAGAGAGGUCACACCCGUUCCCAUACCGAACACGGAAGUUAAGCUCUCUAGCGCCGAUGGUAGUUGGGACCUUGUCCCUGUGAGAGUAGGACGUUGCCAGGCA